Molecule: long non-coding RNA, 1293 nt
Organism: Solanum tuberosum (potato)
Lineage: Eukaryota; Viridiplantae; Streptophyta; Magnoliopsida; Solanales; Solanaceae
Exons: 2
Source: RefSeq, a predicted model, not a curated record
CCUUUGCUCAGUUAACUUUUUUGCGGCCGCCUCUUAUUCGCUUGGUGCAGGUCGGGACCUCAUUCGCCGGCGCCGGAAAUAAUGACGGACGACGGCGGUGUUAAUUCUACUAAGUUGUCAACGACGAAUAUAUUUUGAUUAGCGGCGAAAUUUGGGUCCUGCCUUGCAUCAACUGAAUUGGAGACAGCUGUGAAUUGAAGAUUUCGGAUUGAUUUCAGCUAAUUUAGGUUCGGUUUAGAUCGAUCUAGUAUUGGUGAUUUGCUUCGACUCAGGUUUAAUUUGUUCGAUUUGAUUCGGAUUAUUAACUAUGUUUGUGUGUGUGUAUAUGUGGAUGAAUUUUGUAAUUUGUAUUUCCGAUUGGAUUUGCCUGGAUCUGACUUUGUAGAUUGCAAUUUUCAUGAAACUAAUGCCUAAAUGAUGUUUUGGAUACUGUUGAGCUUAGGUCAUUUGCCAGGUUUUAUACUCUAAUUGGUCAUAGAGUUCACUGACUAGACCAGCUAUGAUGCUGUGAAACUGGGAUGGAGCUUCGGAAAAAGAUUAUAGUUUGUAUUUAAACCUAUUUUGCUUGGACUCUCCAAAAAUGUUGCUGCAUCUGUUUCAAAUCCUCUGAAAAAGCAGUACCUUUGGAGGACACACACCCAUUGGCAUUUUGGAGAGUCCAAGAAAAAUGGAUUUGAUUUAGGUGGAGAAUCAUGGUCAUAAAGAAAAUCAAAGAUACAUCUUAUCAAAAUGACUGACCAACAGGUUUUCUUUUCACUUGGUUUCAGUGCCCGAUUCUGAUUUCUCAAGACUGAAAAUGGUACUGGCAUAAGGUAGAUUUUUAGGGUGGAAAUUUUUUGGCCUUGUAAUAUUUGAAUUGAAUUUGAUUAAGGGUUGGUAGAUGUUUCAGGCUAAUAAUGAUAUCUUACUACAAUUCACUCUCAUCACCUAAUACUACUAGUGAUUGUCACUACAGCUCCGUUCAACUUCAAAUGCAGCUAUGCCAUCAGAGGAAGGAGAUGAGAGUGUCCAUGGUAGCUUGCCAAUUCUUAAUGUUGGUACCCUCUGCUAUGUAUGUGGAUGGCAAACUCCUCGCAUACUCUUGUCUUCUAUGAAUCUACCAGUCUGGGAUCUAAUCUGAUUGCGUUCCCUCUAGAUAAUGGCAACUAACAUUGCAAAUAAGCAGAUUUCUUAAGCUAUUAAUUAAGCAUGUAAUAUUGUCAUUCUGCAGAUUUUGUCUGCAAAAUCACCACCAAAUGAAAAUGGAUGUUAUGCGUGGCUACUCUGUUGUGGGAUUUGAGCUACACUUGGUCU